AAAAAUAAUUGUGCAAAUCAAUUUAUGGUAAUAAGAUAAUCUUACUAGCUUUUAAUAAAUUAAACAUAAUUACAUAUAAACUUCUGAGUAUGUGUUACUGAAAAGAAUUUAAUAGUGAUAGUGAAAAGUACCGUGAGGGAAAGAACUAACUUUUGAAAAAAGAAGAAUUUUAUUCGUACCUUGUGUAUCAGGGUCAAGCAAUUUAUAGCAUAAAUUUGUAUAUCCCGAAAUAAAGUGAGUUACAGAAUUAGAAAGGUAUAUGUAGCAAUAUAUUCUUUAAUUUUUUUGUAGGGUGAAACGCAAGUCGAACUUUUAUAUCUGGUUUUUAAAGAAAUGAAUUUAAUUCAGGUAAACUUUGUUUAAUUUACAAUAAAAAGAAAAUUUAAAUAAGGUUUAGCUAAGUUUAAAAGGGAUGAGCUUUUUAAACAAAAUAAUUAAAAGACAAAAAUAUUUAUAUUUAUAAGCGGUGUAUUAAGACUUAAUAAUAGUAGAAAUUAAAAUGUUUGUUUUAAUUUACACCAUAAAUGUUAAAAUUUAUUAUUUUUUCUUUUUCUAUUUAAACUUUAAUUUUAACUUAAAAAAUUAUGAGAUGAUGCUUGAAUAAGUAAAAUUUAUUGGAUAUUUUUAAUUUAAAUUUUUGUUAAAAUUUAUUAAACAUUAGAUUUAAAAAAGGAACUCGGCAAAUACUCUUUUCGCAUGUUUAUCAAAAACAUCGCCUUAAAAUGAAUUUAAGGUACUGCCUGCUCAAUGCUUUAAGUAAAUAGCCGCAGUAUUUUGACUGUGCUAAGGUAGCAUAAUCAUUAGUCUUUUAAUUGAAGGCUGGUAUGAAUGGCAAGACGAGAAAGAAGCUGUCUCUUUUAAAAAAUUGAAUUUCAUUUUUAAGUGAAAAAGCUUAAAUGUAUUUAAGGGACGAUCAGACCCUAUGGAGCUUUAUUUCGUUGAUUAGUUAAAUUUAUAUUUUAAAGUUAAUUAUUUAACGAAAUUUUGUUGGGGCGACAAAGAGAUAAAAAUAACACUCUUUUUAUUAAACAUAAAUAAAUGAAUAAUUGAUCCCUAAAGAAGGAUUAAAAGACUAAGUUACCCUAGGGAUAACAGCGUAAUUUUUUUGGAGAGUUCAAAUCGAUAAAAAAGUUUGCGACCUCGAUGUUGGAUUAGGAAUUUAACUAGGUGCAGAAGUUUAGUUGUAGAGUCUGUUCGACUUUUAAAAUCCUACAUGAUCUGAGUUCAAACCGGCGUAAGCCAGGUUGGUUUCUAUCUUUAAAUUAAAUAUUUCUUUUUUAGUACGAAAGGAUUAAAAAGAACUAAAAUUUAGUAAAAACGAAUAAUAGUAAUAGAGUUAAA
Molecule: ribosomal RNA, 1341 nt
Filed under: Bosmina fatalis
Lineage: Eukaryota; Metazoa; Arthropoda; Branchiopoda; Diplostraca; Bosminidae
Description: 16S ribosomal RNA
Rfam family: Bacterial large subunit ribosomal RNA (bases 879-1265)
Source: RNAcentral